This 711-nucleotide ribosomal RNA is filed under the name uncultured fungus. Its description in RNAcentral is "SSU rRNA". It matches the Rfam family "Eukaryotic small subunit ribosomal RNA", at positions 826 to 1570 of the family's 1831-position model. The record is from RNAcentral. Lineage: Eukaryota; Fungi.
CGUUAUGGUUCUAUUUUGUUGGUUUCUAGGACCAUCGUAAUGAUUAAUAGGGACGGUCGGGGGCAUCAGUAUUCAGUUGUCAGAGGUGAAAUUCUUGGAUUAACUGAAGACUAACUACUGCGAAAGCAUUUGCCAAGGACGUUUUCAUUAAUCAAGAACGAAAGUUAGGGGAUCGAAGAUGAUCAGAUACCGUCGUAGUCUUAACCAUAAACUAUGCCGACUAGGGAUCGGGUGGCGCUUCUUGCCCACUCGGCACCUUACGAGAAAUCAAAGUCUUUGGGUUCUGGGGGGAGUAUGGUUGCAAGGCUGAAACUUAAAGGAAUUGACGGAAGGGCACCACCAGGAGUGGAGCCUGCGGCUUAAUUUGACUCAACACGGGACAGCUUACCAGGUCCAGACAUGAUAAGGAUUGACAAGUUAGAGACUUCUCUUGAUCUCAUGGGUGGUGGUGCAUGGCCGUUUUUAGUCCUUGGAGUGAUUUGUCUGCUUAAUUGCGAUAACGGACGAGACCUUAACCUGCUAAAUAGGCGGGCCAACGUCAGUUGGCUGCGUCUUCUUAGAGGGACUAUGGGGAACAACCCCAUGGAAGUUUGAGGCAACAACAGGUCUGUGAUGCCCUUAGACGUUCUGGGCCGCACGCGCGCUACACUGACGGAGCCAGCAAGGACCUUUGCCGAGAGGCCUGGGGAAACUCGUGAAACUCCGUCGUGC